GAUGAACGCUGGCGGCGUGCCUAAUACAUGCAAGUCGAGCGAACAGAUGAGGAGCUUGCUCCUCUGACGUUAGCGGCGGACGGGUGAGUAACACGUGGAUAACCUACCUAUAAGACUGGGAUAACUUCGGGAAACCGGAGCUAAUACCGGAUAAUAUAUUGAACCGCAUGGUUCAAUAGUGAAAGACGGUUUUGCUGUCACUUAUAGAUGGAUCCGCGCCGCAUUAGCUAGUUGGUAAGGUAACGGCUUACCAAGGCAACGAUGCGUAGCCGACCUGAGAGGGUGAUCGGCCACCCUGGAACUGAGACACGGUCCAGACUCCUACGGGAGGCAGCAGUAGGGAAUCUUCCGCAAUGGGCGAAAGCCUGACGGAGCAACGCCGCGUGAGUGAUGAAGGUCUUCGGAUCGUAAAACUCUGUUAUUAGGGAAGAACAAAUGUGUAAGUAACUAUGCACGUCUGGACGGUACCUAAUCAGAAGGCCACGGCUAACUACGU
RNAcentral lists this ribosomal RNA (496 nucleotides) under uncultured bacterium. RNAcentral's name for it is "partial 16S ribosomal RNA". It matches the Rfam family "Bacterial small subunit ribosomal RNA", at positions 28 to 506 of the family's 1533-position model. The record is from RNAcentral.